AGAGUUUGAUCAUGGCUCAGGAUGAACGCUGGCGGUAUGCCUAACACAUGCAAGUCGAACGAUGUCUUCGGACAUAGUGGCGGACGGGUGAGUAACGCGUGAGAAUCUGCCUCUAGGAUGGGGAUAACGGUUGGAAACGACCGCUAACACCCAAUAUGCCGUAAGGUGAAAAAUUUAUUGCCUGGAGAGGAGCUCGCGUCUGAUUAGCUAGUUGGUGGGGUAAGGGCUCACCAAGGCUUCGAUCAGUAGCUGGUCUGAGAGGAUGAGCAGCCACACUGGGACUGAGACACGGCCCAGACUCCUACGGGAGGCAGCAGUGGGGAAUUUUCCGCAAUGGGCGAAAGCCUGACGGAGCAAUACCGCGUGAGGGAGGAAUGCCUUUGGGUUGUAAACCUCUUUUCUCAGGGAAGAAGAUCUGACGGUACCUGAGGAAUAAGUAUCGGCUAACUCCGUGCCAGCAGCCGCGGUAAUACGGAGGAUGCAAGCGUUAUCCGGAAUCAUUGGGCGUAAAGCGUUCGCAGGUGGUUUCCAAAGUCUGCUGUUAAAGACUGGAGCUCAACUCCGGAACGGCGGUGGAAACUUGGAAACUAGAGUUCGGUAGGGGUAGCAGGAAUUCCCAGUGUAGCGGUGAAAUGCGUAGAUAUUGGGAAGAACAUCGGUGGCGAAGGCGUGCUACUGGACCGUAACUGACACUCAGGGACGAAAGCUAGGGGAGCGAAAGGGAUUAGAUACCCCUGUAGUCCUAGCUGUAAACGAUGGAAACUAGGUGUGGCUUGUAUCGACCCGAGCCGUGCCGUAGCUAACGCGUUAAGUUUCCCGCCUGGGGAGUACGCACGCAAGUGUGAAACUCAAAGGAAUUGA
This 861-nucleotide ribosomal RNA is filed under the name uncultured marine microorganism. Its description in RNAcentral is "bacterial SSU rRNA". It matches the Rfam family "Bacterial small subunit ribosomal RNA", at positions 8 to 913 of the family's 1533-position model. The record is from RNAcentral.